Molecule: long non-coding RNA, 12476 nt
Filed under: Theobroma cacao (cacao)
Lineage: Eukaryota; Viridiplantae; Streptophyta; Magnoliopsida; Malvales; Malvaceae
Description: long non-coding RNA (TCAC_LNC003054)
Source: RNAcentral
CUGGCCAAGGCAAGAACAAAAGGGAAAAAGCAUAGAACAAACCCUAGAGAAAAAAAUCAAGAGAAAAUUCAUUGGAUUUCAAGGAAUUAAGCAAGUAAAGGUAAAAUUUCUUAAUUCUAGCUUGUGAUCUACCUUUCCUAUGCAUUCUUUUAAAAUUACCAUGGUUAAAAUUCAAGAUCUCAUGAAGGAUUCAUGGCUGAUUGAAUUUUGGGAGAGAAGAUUUGAUGAUUUAUAUGGUUAGAUUUCAAGGUAUCUUAGUGUUUUUAGUUGUUUGGUGAUGUUUAGCAUGAAAAACAAGCAAGAAAUUUCAUGCCCUUCACCCACACUCCUUGGCUGAAAUUUUCAAGAGAGAAAUUGGAUAAUGGACUUUGAUGAAUUUCAUGCUAUUUAGGUGUUUUUAGUUGUUUUAUGAUGUAAGGUGUAAAAAUCAAGCAUGAAAAUUACAUGUUCUACACUAAACCUUCAAUGGUCGAAUUUUACAAGGAAGAUAUUGAUGAUGGAUUUUUGUGAUAUUACAUAUUAUUUAACUUGUAAUUGAUGACUUGGAGUGUUGGAAGUGGAAUCAAGUUAAUUGGAGUUGAAUUGGAUGUAUUGGCCAAUUAACUGGUGUAUAGAUCGAAUUAGGCCAAUACCAUUUUAUUUCUAUACAUAAUUGAAGCUACGUAGAACAACAUAUUCAGAUAAUAAUCUGAACAUUUUGCAUCCCAUUUCAUGCAUUCAUAUAGAGCCUAAAUUAGUCUUAUAACGGUUUAGUACAAAUAUAGUAAAUUGCUUAUUGUGCAUUAUGUUUAGGUGGUGAAACUUCCGAUAAGGGUAACGAGAUUGUACUCGAAGAUCGGGACUAAGAGUACUUCAACUCCCGAUAUUGUGAGUAACCUUAUUAUCGUCUUAGUUAUCUAAAAUAGUUUUUAUUCGUUUUUGUGAUUUUAUAGAAAAAUGAGUUUAAAUGGUAAAUCCUUAUGUUUUAUAAGUAAAAUGUGAUUAAAUGAAAUGAAUUUUAUAAAUCAUUUUGAAAUUGAAUGAUGAUUUUAGAAAUUGAGUAGUUAGAGACUGUUUGAUUGUGUUGUAAAUUUAUGGUUUGAAUUGAAUGGCUUAUGGUGAUAUUGGCAUGAAUGGAUAAAUUGGAAAUUGUGUUGAAAAUGUAUGAAUUGUUUGUUUUGCCUUAACAGGAUGGGUAGUAAUAUAAUUGCCAUGUCAUGCUGUUGAAACUUUUAUUGAUUUGGUGGAAUAUUGAUUAGUCACUCUAGUGGCGGGUUUUCGUGGACCAGCCUAUUAGAGAGGGGCAUGGUAAACUCGAUUAUAUUUUACCUCGGUACGAGAGGCGCGGAGGGUAUCUCCUGAGAAAAAGCUUUAGAGUUUACUACACGCUAAACCACCACGUGAGGGUGAACUCAGCCAACACCAAGGAAUGGCUAUGCUUUUAAACGUAAAAAUGUGUUUUAAGCGUAUGUGAACUUUUCUUUAAUAGCCUUGGCUGACUCGAUUGGAUGCCCCAACCAAGGUAUCCUAAAGAAUGAGUUUUGGCAUGAGCCAAAUUUUUAAGAAAUUCAUAAGCCAUGUUGAUCAUUUGAGUGAAAUGAAAUUAUUUUAUUUAGUUGAAAUGAGUUUGAAACGUUAUGAAUCAUAAUACGAUGAACUAUUUUAAGUUGUCUCAAUUUACUCGACUUUAGAUAUUUUAGAUGAUGUUUGUUUACUCACUGAAUUUAUAUAAACUCACCACCCUCAUUUCCACUCAUUCCAGGAUCAGGACAGUCCGUAAAUAGCUGAUUACAUCGAGGGUUAUUAUUGGACUUGCCUCCUCAGAAAUUGUAGGUCCACAGCCUUUGUUACCUUUGGUCAUUCCGGGGCCCAUACGUCAUUGUAAAUUAAAUUACAUACUCUGGUUAUCUGUGUUACUGUAUGUAUGGAUUUAUUUUGCUUUUACGCUACAAAAAUUAUUUACGCAGAGUUCUAUCAAUAUUGUUUUAUAAGAAAAUGGAAUAUUUCAUUUAAUAUUUUUAUUUUAUUCUAUUAGCUACAAUUUCACCCUAAAUGAAUGUUUUAGACAUAAAAACUUGCUUUUAGUUAUGAAAUGUGUAUUUUCCCCUAUAUAUUAUAUUUUCAACAGGUUUCAAAAUUUUUGGAAAAAAUGACCAAAAUGCCCUUAUGUGACAGAAAAUAUAUUUUAUUAUUAUUUGAUUUGAAAAUAGCUUAUAAUUUUUUAAAAUAUGAUAUUUAGUAAUUAUUGCUCACAAGGGAGGUGCAAAAACUGAUAUUAAGCCUUGCGAGGUUUCGGUUGGCGUUCAAGGUAAUGAAUGUCUAUCGGGACAUCGCAGAGAUUAUCACUGGCUCGAUGAGAGUACUGGGUCAUGACACUUUGAGAUCUUAGAAAAGGUUGGAGCAGUGGCGUAUCAUUUGGCGCUACCACAAGACGUCUCAAAUAUUCACCCUGUAUUCCAUGUGUCAAUGCUUAGAAAAUAUAACCCCGAUCCAUCUCAUGUAAUACGGUAUGAAACCAUCCAAUUGUAAGAUGAUCUAACCUUUGAGGAACAACCAGUGGCUAUCCUUCAUAAGCAAGUCAAAAAGCUUCGUUCAAAGGAUGUAGCCUUAGUGAAAGUGUUAUGGCGAAACCACACUAGUGAAGAGGUAACGUUGGAAGCCGAGAAGGAGAUACGAACCAAAUAUCCACACCUCUUUGAUGCUUAGAGGUACGUUAUCUUAUAGUUGAAUUUAAAUUCGAGGACCGAAUUUCUUUAAGUGGGGGAGAAUGUGAGACUUUGACCUUUCUAGACUCGUAGAUGAGGUAGAUGCAAUAUCCCUAAUCAAGGGUAAUUUCGUCAUUUCCUUAAUAAGCCCCUAAAAGUAAGACAUUAAACAAUAUUAUGGCCUAAGUAGGCCUAAGGCAUAAAUGGAUGAUUAAAUAAGGGUAAAAUGAUGAAGGAAAUAAAAAUGAUGAUGAUUUCCACGAUAGGGGCAAAAUGGUCAUUUUUUACCUCGGGUCAAAAUUUUUAAGUUUUCAUGAACUCGAGCAUUUCUAGACCAUUAUGGACCUUGUCCUAGUGUCAAAGGAGUAAAAGAUUGCAUAAAGGAUUGGAAGAGAACAAGUUGACUUGUGAGGGCAUUUUGGUUAUUUAAAUGGAGUGGAUAAGCUUGGGCUAUAAAUAUCUCUUUCUUCCAAUAGCUUCUUCUCCCAUUUUCCAACAACUUCUUCUUCUUCUUCCUUCUUCCCUUUCACAUUGCUUCUAACCUCCAUGGAAGCUUGAUAUGAACCUCCAUAACCUCCCUCAAAAUAGCUCCACUUUUCAUGCUUUUGGUGCACCCUUUCAUAAAUUCUUGUGCUCUUCCACUCUCUCUCAUUAAAACCCUUGAAAAAUCUUAUUUCCAUACUCUCUCUCACUAGUUAGGUGUUUUAGAGAGAGGAAAAGGAAGCUUUAUUAAUAGCUUGAAAGUUUUGGAAAGAAUUUCAAGCACAAAGCUACCAUGGUGAGUAAUGAACUAGAAUUGAUUUUUAGUGUUGAAAAUGAUUAGUGUUUAGACUUGUGGAUGUUUUGGUAGUUGAGGUUGGAAAUUCACUUUAGAGUGAUUAGGAUAGUGAAAAUGGAUAGCCAUUUAAUGGCACUUGAAAACUAGUAGGUGAUAGCUUGUAGAACUUGUAAUUAUGAGAAUUGAGUUAAUUGUGAAGUUAAUGUGAUGAUAGGCUCCAAUGAAGCCCCACCAUCCCAUUUGGACCAUUAAGGAAGUUAGAAUCGACUAAAGGUUGAACAAAAUAUUGGUGAGUGGACUUGCAUUUCAAACUUGUUUUAGGAAUGUGAAUGUGUUUGCACAAGAUAUUUGAAUGAUUUUAUCCAACUUUUCCUUGCAAAUGUGUGCCAAGGAACAAGCCUUGAUUAAAUGUUUUUGAUAUUGUGAAAUGUGAUAUGUGUAUAAGGAUGAAUCCGUAUCCUUUAUAUUAUGUUGGUAGGUGUGUAUAUAUCUUGAGAAUUUCCCAUUUUCUUGCAAAUUGAUUUUUAUUGUAAAAAAGAGGUCCUUUUUACACUUAGGUGCCCUGCUUCUCGCUGCAACGAGAAACAUUUUGUUUUGGCUACCAACAACUUGCUGCAGCGAGAAACUCUCGAGUUUUGAUGUAGUGCUUUCACUUCGAUGAGGAUUUUGACCACCUUCCCUUUUGAACUGAGAAAAAUGGUAAACAUCAAAGUUGUAUCCCUAUCUCUUAUCUUUCUCAUGGUCCAAAAAUCAGAUCAAUUAAACUUCUGUACCUAAAGAUAGGAUAGAAAAACUGAAACAUAUGCAAACUAACACUAUUUCUCGCUACAGCGAGAACUUUUCUGUUUUGGCCGCCUGAAUCUCGCUGCAGUGACAAUGAACUUUGCUACAGUGAAACUUGCUGCCAUGCUUGCUACCUUGCUUGAUUUUGACAUAUUUUUCACCCAUUUAACUUUAUGGAUUGAUCUUGGGUUUUUGCAGCAUUAUAAGGUUAUUAAUCAAAGUUUGAAAUGAGGGGUUUUUAGUAAGAAACUAAAUCAAUUGCAUUGUUUUGGAAACAAGUGCAUCAUGAUUUCCAAAUUCUUCCUUUUUGUUUGCUUGUGCCCUUCUUAUGUUCACUCACUAAGUUUAUACUCACCGUUUUCAACUUUAUGUUUUCAUAUCAAGAGGCAGCCGAUAACUAGGACGAGGUGUGGCAUCCCCCUCGGGGCCAGCUAGAAUGGUUAAAGGCAUUCACUUCGGGGGGAGGAAAAGGUCUAAGGUUCAAAGCUUUGUGAGGUCUACGGGCUCGUCUUUCAAAGUGAAGAAUAGCUGAGUGAUGGGGACCCAGACAUAACAAUACCUUGGAGUGGGCCCUGAAGAGGAUACCACAAAAAAAAGUGUUUUAUUCUCAUAUGUUAUUUUAACAGCCUUGGUGGACUUGGUUGGAUGCAUCGGCUCAAGGUGUCAUCGAUUGCAAGUUUUGGCACAAGCCAAGUUUUUACGAGAAUCAUAAGCCAAAUUGAUUAUUUUUGAUGAAAUGUAAUUGAUUUAUAUGGGUUUAAAUGAGAUUUGAUGUUAUGAAUCAUAUUACGAUGAGAUAUUUUAAAUUGUCUCCAUUUACUCGGCUUUAGAUGUUUUAGAUAAAAUUUGCUUAUUCAUUAGGUUUAUAAAAACUCACCCCUUCUUUUCACCUAUUUCAAGCUCAGGGCAGUCUGUAGACUACUAAUUAUGUUGAGGGUUUGCUUUUGGGUUUACACCCGUAGAAAUCGUAGCUCUAUAGUCUUGUACAUAUAUGUUUAUUUUGGGGGCCCACAUGUCAUUGUAGAAUAUUUUGUAUACCUGGCUGCGUGUGCCACUGUAUGUAUGAAUUUAUUUGCUUUUAUGCUACAAAAAUUAUUUACGCAAAGUUCUAUAAGUAUUGUUUUAUAAGAAAAUAGAAUAUUUUAUUUAAUUUGAAUAGCUAUAAUUUCACUUUAAAUUGAUGAAUUAGACAACGAAACUUAUUUUUAGACAUGAAAUGGAUGCUUAUUACUCGUAUAUCAUAUUUUUACUGUGUUUCAAAACUUUCGGGUAAAAAUGACCAAAGUACCCUUGUGUGGCAGAAAUUAUAUUUUUGUUUGUUUUUAUUUAAAAAUAGUUUAUAUUCCCUUAAAACAUGAUAUUUAGUAACUAUUGCUCACAGGGGAGAUGUAAAACUAAUGGAAAAGCCUUGUGAGGUUUCUGUUGACAUUUCGGGUAAUGAAUGUCUAUCAAGACAUCGCGACGGAUGUCACGGGCUCGAAAGGAGUACCGGGUUGUGAAAUUUCUAUUGGUAUCAGAGCUUUUUAUUUUAAAGUUAUUUUAAAAACUACAGUAUUAGUGUGAUCCCUAUGUUAGGUUAGAUUAAGUCGAAUGCAUGCAUCUGCAUAUAGAACCUGAAGUAGUGUAAACUCAUCUUGUUUUUUCUUAUAAAUUAUCGUGCCUCCUCGACGUGGACUCCCAGCUCUCGCUAGAUCGAUCGGGAGAGGAAGAGGCACGAGUUCGACCUAGUGUAGUGACAAGUACCAUGUCUGUAUUUGACAGAGAUGCUUAUGUCUAAAUUGAUUCUUAUUUAGAUAGAUCUUAUGUGAGGACGACAUUCACAUCCUUUUCUGAUAGAAACCUAUCACUUUUAGAGGAAGAAAUUGUAGUUCAUAACCCUCUAGGAGAGUAGCUGGUUAGAAACACGUGUUAUAGAGACUGUGGAAUAAGAGUUGGUGAGGAAGAAUUCAGGGUUGACUUAAUUCCCCUAGAAAUCUGAGAUUUUGAUUUGAUAUUGGGUAUGGAUUGGUUUAUUGCACAUCGGACGAAUGUAGAUUGUUUCAGGAAGGAAGUUGUACUUAGAGUUCUGAAGGAGUAGAAGUUGUAUUUGUAGGGGAACGUCGAGUAUUACCAUUCUGUGUAAUCUCGGCUAUCAAAGCUUUGAAACUAGUGUAGAAAGGGUAUUCGGCUUAUUUAGCACAUGUGAUUGAUACAUCAAAGGGGGAACCUAAGUUAGAGGAUGUCCCAAUAGUAAAUGACUUCUCUGUUGUGUUUUCGAAUGAAUUACCAGAACUACCUCCUGAUCGAGAACUCGAAUUCUCUAUUGAUCUAUUCUAAGGAUGAGCUUGAAUUUUUCUAUGCUUAGUGUGGAGCCAAAGGAUUAAAGGACUAGAUAUGGAUUUAGUAGUUUGAAAUUAAAUGACUUGAAAAUGUUGAUUCUAGUCUAAAUGCCAUAUGGAGAUUUAUAUUGGAGCUUCAUAUACAAAUUAUUGUAAGGAUUAAUCUAAAAGUCUAUUUGGAUUAGUAUGCAAACUAUGGUGCAAAUGAUUAGUCUUAAAUUUGAUUUCUUCAAAGGUAACGGAUUUAGAAAAUGUUGAUUUUCGGAUAUGCUCUAAGAGGAAGUUUUUGCAUCUUAAGCUUAAGAAACUUUGAUCUUAUGACUGCAAAGGCGAGAUGCAAUAAUUAAGUGGUGUACAAUUUGAGAUAUGUCGAAAUUGAGGAAAGUAAGAAGGGAUUCUUACUUGUGGUAAUGGAUGUUGACAGUGUUAAAGAAUGAGAUGAAUUUGAAAAUAUUGGCUUAGUCUAUUAUAUGUGAUAAGCACAAGAGAAUAUAAUGGUUAUGGAAAACUGCGACAUAAACUUGGAGGAAAACCAAACAAUUGAGGAUGAUUAAUAUAGUAACCUUAAAUUUAGACGAAUAGCGUUGAUUAAGUAAACUUAGUAGCCACCAUGCCGCCGCGCUAGAAACACCUCAUAUCUGGGACGUAGGAAUAAAAGGUGAAAGAUUGGAAGUUGAACUUACGAGUUAAAUUAAGGUCAUUGGACUUGAUGUUAAGCUUCGUUAAUUGGAGUUUUAAGGUUUUGGAAGGUAUUGAUAUGAAUGAAUUGGAAAGUUUCUUUGUUGACUUAUAUAUUGGCAAUGUAUAAGAGUUUUGAAACGAAUAGACCGAACUGCAAGUGUCAAGAAUAAUGGUUAGUAGUACUUUAAAAUAUUUUAUAUACAUGAGGAAAUGUGGAACUUGGAAUUGUCAAGGAGCUUAAUGGUUAAAGCAUAAGUUAUGAGGUCGCUCGAUGUGAGGUUGAAAUUAGAUAUUGGUGAUGAUGUCGAAGGAUACCUAAGUAAAAUCCAUAUUAAGUUUAUAAAUAUCAGAGUUGAUUGUGCAGACGCUAAAGAGAACGUAUGAGUAUAUUGGUGUAAAGAAAUAGUACAAGAUGAUUGAAGGUAAUCCUAAUAAUGAAGUUAGUUAAUGAAAAUUUCCUAAUGAGGGAAACUAGUAUUCAAAAUGUAAGAAGUGCACAUGCCUUCAAUGAAUUUAAAUCUUAAGCUACUAACUAAUAUGGAAAUGAAUAAGGACAUAUAUGAUGGAAGUAUACAAGGUAAAUGAGAAACGAAGAUGACUUUUAGGAAUUGUGAUAUUGCAUAAGAUACAAGGAUGAAUUAAAGAAAACCUCUGAAGGAUCAAUAAGAUCGUAAAGCAUAUGUGGAUACUAGAUUGUGAUUGGAUGAAAAUGAUAGCUAUGAUUGAAAUGUGGUUAAUGACAUUGUGAUCCAAGGAUGCGUGGUAUAAUGGAGCUUAUACAUAGGAUUGGAAAUGAUAAGAAAAGAGUAUAAGCAUGUAAAUUAUGUGAAGUUAUGCAUAGGCACAAUGAGAAUCCGUAUGGAUUACAUAAGAAAAGAUUUAUGGUAGGAUGUAAAUUAAAUGGUACUCAAACAUCCAAAAAGGUAAUUUGGAGUUGAUUAUAUCCUAAUAUUCACAGAUUAAAUUUGACCUAUGGGAAUAAAAUAGAAAAGUAAAAAGGGGAAACAUGUGCUAUGAGAAUAUGAUAUUGAACCUUAGUUAUGGAUUAGAAUGAAUAGAGGCAAUUUAGUUAGAAUAUAGUUGACGAGGGUCCUUAUCGAUAGUGAUGGAUGAUGGCACUUAAAUGUAUAUGGACAUACAUAUAUAUAUAUAUAUAUAUAUAAAGAUGAUUAUGUGAUCAACUAAAGUGAAGAAUUAUUCAUGGUAAUUUGAGUUUUGAAUUCGACGUGUUUAAUGAGCUGUAUAGUUGAUACGAUGAUGAAAGUUACUAGUGGCUGGGUAUGAAACGAGACAUAGUCGAGUUUGUGACGAAAUGUCUCACAUGCCAACAGAUCAAGACGGAACAUCAGAAACCAUCGGGUACUCUUCAGCUUCUACCUAUCCCUGAAUGGAAGUGGGAACACGUGAAUAUGGACUUUGUAUUGGGUUUACUGUAAACGCAGAGUGGGAAGGAUGCUAUUUGGGUGAUUGUGGAUAGAUUGACUAAGUUUGCCCAUUUCUUGGCUAUCCAUAGCACGUAUUCCAUUGAGAAACUGGCUAAGUUUUAUUAGAUGAGAUAGUGAGAUUACAUGGAGUCCCAGUUUCUAUUGUGUCAGAUCAAAACCCCCAGUUCACUUCUCAAUUUUGGCCAAAAUUCUAAGAGGCUCUCGAAACUAAUUUGAGGUUUAGCACUACCUUUCAUCCAUAAACAGAUGGACAAUCUGAAAAGACCAUUCAGACUUUGGAGGAUAUCCUACGGGCUUAUGUCAUUGACUUUAUUGGGAGUUAGGACAAACACUUGUCGUUCGUGGAGUUCGCGUAUAAUAACAGUUUAGUAUUGGGAUGGCGCCAUACGAGGCUUUGUAUGGGAACAAGUGUCGAACUCCACUCUGUUGGGAUGAAGUGGGUGACAGGAAAUUGUUUAAUGUAGAGUUGAUUGAUCUGACUAAUGACAAGAUCAAGGUUAUUCGAGAAAGAUUAAAGACAGCUCGAGACAGGCAGAAAAGUUACCCUAAUAGACGAAAAAAAAAUUUGGAAUUUGAAAUUGAUGAUGGAGUUUUUCUUAAGAUUUAUCCUUGGAAAGGUAAUGAUUUGAAUAUUUUGAGGUAUUAAGUCUUAUUUGAUUAUACUAUUGUGGUAAAUUGUGGUAUCUUGUUGGAUAAUGAAAAGUGUGAUUCAAUUUACAAAUCGGGGAAAGCUCAAUCUGAGAUGCAUUGGACCCUUUUGUAUCAUUGAAAGGGUUGAGCUAGUGACAUAUAGACUAGACUUACCCCUAGAGUUGGAUCGGAUUCACAAUGUCUUCCACGUCUCGAUGCUGAAGAAGUACGUACCUGAUCCCUCCCAUAUCCUUGAGGCACCUUCGAUUAAGUUGCAAGAAGAUUUAAAGUUUGAGGUGCAACCUGUACGUAUUUUAGACAGAAAGGAUCGAGUGUUGAGGAAUAAGAACAUUCCAAUGGUUAAGGUGUUGUGGAAAAAUACUCGAAUGCAAAAGAUGACGUGGGAAGUUGAGUACUAGAUGAGAAACCAAUACCCCCAUUUUUUCUCCGCGCGUGGGAAGUGAAAUUUUUAGGUCAAAAUUUUAUUUUAAGGGGGGUAGUGCUAUCAAGCCCUACUCUAUUAUAUACUUGUCAUGUCAUUCAUGUGCUUGAUAGAAUGUUUGCAUAAGUGAAUGUAUCGAAAAAUCGUUAAAAGUCGGUAUUGUACCUAGUGGUACAAUUAAGUUGAUGAAAGCCUCGAACUAGGCAAAAUAAAGAUUUUACAAUGUAUUUGAGAGUUAUUGAAUCUUAGAAUGUCUUAAUAUGGUGAUUCGGAGUUCGAGGAUUGAUUUAGAGUCCAAUCGAGAAUUUUCAUAAUGUAGGGGCAAAAUGGUCAUUUUGCCACCCAAGAGCAAAAUUGGAAUGUUGGAUGAGAUUUUUGACCAAGUUUGACUAGUUGGAGCAUAAUUUGAAAUUGUGGAGUGAAAAUUUUCAAUUUUGACAUUUUUUGAGUAUAAGGGCAAAACGGUCAUUUCAUGUGUCCAUGAGGACGUAAUUGAAAUUUUACACCACCAUGACACUUGUCAAGCCCGUGAAUUUCACCUAUUAUCACUUUAUACUUUGGAUAAUUAUGGGAUUACAUGUGGUGGUGAGAAAUUGCUUAAUGGUUAAGUUUUUAAUCUUGGACCAAUUACAUGGUGACACGUGGCAAAUUUUAAUCCUUUUAUAAUUCCCUUUAAAAAACCAGCACACACUCCUCCCAAAUCACUCUUAGGGCCGGCCAAGCAAGGGAACAAAGAGAAAAAGAGAAGAACAAACCAUAGGAAGGAAAAAUUCAAGAGAAAUUGUUGGAUUUCACGGAAUCAAGCAAGUAAAGGUAAGAUUUUUUAAUUUUAGCUUGUGAUCUACCUUUCCCAUGCAUUCUUUUUCAUUCUCCAUGGCUGAAAUUCAAGUUUUCAAGAGGAAACCUUUGCUGGCCAAAUCUAGAGAGAGAAGUUUUGGUGAUGAAUUUUGCUAGAUUUCAUAACAUCCUAGUGUUUUUAGUCAUUUUGUGAUGUUUGGAAGGAAAAACAAGCAAAAAAAUCACAUGUUCUUCAAUAACCUUCAUUUGGCCGAAUUUUCUAUAGGGCAUGUUGAUGAUGGACUUGGUUGUAUUUCAUGUUAUUUAGCUAGGAAUUGAUGAAUUAUGGUGUUGGAUAUCGAAACCGGUUAUUGAAAAAUAUAGUUCCUUUAGAAAAUGGCUUGAUGGAAAAUGAGAAAAUGAUAGUAAAUGGACUAGGAUUUGAUUCCUAAUUAUAUAUAUAUGGAUUUACGAGAUUGUGUAGAAAUUGAUUAGUAUGUUAGUUCGGAAUCGAAAUGAAUUUUGAAAAAUGGUGAAGUUAGUCAAAAAUCAAGUUCAAUGUAAUGCUUUGGUGUAUUAGAUUACUGGGAGUGUAAUGAAUAUAUUUGUAGUUGAAUCGGAUGUUUUGGUUAAAUCAAUGGUGUAUAGUUUGAAUUAAGUCGAAUACCAAUUCAGUCCGAUCAUAAUUGAACCCAUGUAGAACACUGUCUUUAAGUGAUUAUUCGGACAAUUCUCAUUCAUUGUCAUGCAUUCAUAUAGAGCCUGAAAUAGUUUUAUAACGGUUUGGCAUAAAUAUAUUGAAUUACGUGUCAUGUAUUAUGUAUAGGUGGUGAGCCCUUUGAUAAGGGUAAAGAUAUUGUGUUCGAGGACCAAGAAUAGGAGUACUCCAAACUCCUGCUAUUGUGAGUAAUCAGACUUUCAUCUUAACUAUCUAAAGUAGUUUAUACUCGUUUUUAUGUUUUAAGGAAAAAUGAAUUUAAAUUGCAAACUAUUAUGUUUUAUAAUUGAAGAGUUGAUUAAACAAAAUGAGAUUUUAAACUUGUUUUGAAAUUGAAUACUGGUUUUGGAAAUUGAGUAAGUGGAGAUUGUAUACUUGUGUUAUAUAUAUGUUUUGACAUAUGGUUUGAAUUAAUGGCUUAUGACAAUGUGAUGGCAAGCAUGGCUAGAUUUGUGUUUGUGUGGAAUAUAUGAACUAUUUUGCUUUGCCUUGAUAGGCUGGUAAUAUUAUAUUAGCCAUGCCAUGCUGUCCAAAAUUUUAUUGAAUUGGUGGGUUAUUUAAUUAGGUUACUGCAGUGGGUGGGUUUCUAUGGACCAGCCUAUUAGAAGGGCACGGUAAACCCCAUUAUAUUUUACCUUAGUAUGAGAGGCGCGGAGGGUAUCUCCUAAGGUAAAGUUAGAGUUCACCUCACGCCGAACUACCACGUGAGGGUGAAACUCAUCCAACACCAAGGAAUGGCUAUGCUUCGAAAUGUAACAAAAAAAAAAGAGUUUUAUACUCAUAUGUUAUUUUAACAGCUUUGGCAAACUCGAUCGGAUGCCUCGGCACAAGGUGUCACCGAGUGCAAGUUUUGGCACGAGCAAACUUUUUACGAGAAUCAUAAGCCAAAUUGAUUAUUUUUGAUCAAAUGUAAUUGAUUUAUAUGGGUUGAAAUGAGAUCUUUAAUGAAAUGAGAUUUGAUGUUAUUAAUCAUAUUAUGAUGAGAUAUUUUAAAUUGUCUCCAUUUACUCGGCUUUAGAUGUUUUAGAUGAAAUUUACUUACUCACUGGGUUUAUAAAAACUCACCCUUUUUUUUCACCCAUUUUAGGCUCAGGGCAGUCUGUAGACCACUGAUUAUGUCGAGGGUUUGCUUUUGGGUUUGCACCUUUAGAAAUCGCAGGUCUAUAGUCUUGUACAUAUAUGUUUAUUUUGGGGGCUCACAUGUCAUUGUAGAAUAUUUU